AAGAAAAAAUGUUCAACUUAUUUAUCUACAUUUUUGCAGAGGAAUGAGUUGAAUAAGAUUCAGCUCAACUUUUUUCAAUCUAAUAUUUUUCAAUCAUUCAAUUUAAAACAACCAUUUGCAGUCUAAAUGUGAAUAGAAAACUACCAGUGUUCAACCAUUUUUUUCGAAAGCUAAAAGCCUAAAACAUUUACAAUGUUUUUUUUUAUGUGGUAAAUGUAUUUUUUUGUGGUAAAUGUAUCUCCUCUUCCUAUUGAAACUCAACAUCUUCAUCACAUGAAAUUUCUAAAAAAGAUUUUACUUCUUUUUCUCUCGAAAUCUUUUCUUUUUUUCCAUAGUAAACCUGCACAAACAAGGAUUGCCUCCCUCUUUUAUGUUCCCUAUGAAAUCAACCAAAUCCUCUUUGCGCCCAUUUUCUUCCCCAACUAUUUUGGAUCAUCCAGUAAUACUUCUCAACAAACAUGUCUGCAUCAUAGCCAACAAUAAACACAUCAUGGAAUUGAUUGCUCCUUGUAUUGCUCUUGUUGGUCGAUAUUUUCCUGUUUGUUAAGGAAAACUUUUACAUUAUCUUAAGAGAACAUGUAUUAAAUUUUGUACUCACUUAUUCAUGUGGUCUAAAAUCACUCAAUUGUGGUAUAACUCCAACCACAUGAUGCCUCCACACUAGCCUCACAAGGUCAUCAUCAUCAACCUCGUCGAUGAUGACCAAGUAAUUGAUUGUCUACUGUGGGCUACAAAAAAAUGACAUUGAAAUAAACCAUUUAUUAUAAUUAUAUAUCUAAUAACUACAUACAUAAGUCUAAAUUCUUAAGUUGUCGUGGUCACAAGGUCUUCGGGUACCAGUGUAUAAGCACUCUCCUUCUUUUAGUAUUCCAUUUUGAACCACAAAAUCUGCUAGAGUUGAAGUAUCUUCUAACCCAUACUUCCUAAUUUUCACAUUGUUGGCCAAAUGUUGAAUGGAGAAUGAGCGUUGUUCAUCAAGUCUUCUGCCGAUAUUGAAUAAUGCUUCAAUGGCUCGAAUAAAUUAAAUGGCCCAACAAUUCGCUAAAAAAAAUAUAAUAAUCAUAAACCAUUAUUGUGAUCCCGGCCAUGAUAUUAACAAAAGUAUUAAAAAUGGCCCAAUAAUAUUAAACUAUACGAAUGAUACUUAAUGUAAUUUGCACUUACGAUCGUCUUUUUGAUUUAGUACAUUACUAACAAUCCCCGCAUAGCCACUCCAAUCCCAUCUCGGAGGCGGAUCCUGAAAUUAACUUAUGUUAGAUAAAAAUACAACAUAUAGAUUAUAACAAAAUUCAAAAAUCAUUACAUUGUGGUUGAAGAUAUUAUAAGAUUCUUACAUAUCUAUCUAUUGUACAGAUUAUGCAUUUUGCUUCUUGAGUUGAAUCUAUGGUAAGACAUGACUUGUGAGUUAUGUCGCUCAAACAACGACUUCAACUCCGUGGGCUUUUCCAGUGCCAAGACAUUUGAUCUCGAACAUUUUACUUUCAAGUAACUUAAUGUCAUGUUAUGCCAUUGUUAUCUAUUAAUGUAACUAGACUUAUAAGUAGUUGACUUUAUAAAAUUAGACGGUUCUAAUUAAAGUUUGGUUAUUGAAAUCCUGAAACGAC
This 1604-nucleotide small RNA is filed under the name Arabidopsis thaliana (thale cress). Its description in RNAcentral is "ATSL220200". Lineage: Eukaryota; Viridiplantae; Streptophyta; Magnoliopsida; Brassicales; Brassicaceae. The record is from RNAcentral.